GAGUUUGAUCGUGGCUCAGAUUGAACGCUGGCGGCAUGCCUUACACAUGCAAGUCGAACGGCAGCAUGAUCUAGCUUGCUAGAUUGAUGGCGAGUGGCGAACGGGUGAGCAAUACAUCGGAACGUGCCCUGUAGUGGGGAGUAACUAGUCGAAAGAUUAGCUAAUACCGCAUACGACCUGAGGGUGAAAGUGGGGGACCGCAAGGCCUCAUGCUAUAGGAGCGGCCGAUGUCUGAUUAGCUAGUUGGUGGGGUAAAGGCCCACCAAGGCGACGAUCAGUAGCUGGUCUGGAGAGGACGAUCACGCCACACGUGGGACUGAGACGACCGGCCCA
This 333-nucleotide ribosomal RNA is filed under the name uncultured microorganism. RNAcentral describes it as "bacterial SSU rRNA". It matches the Rfam family "Bacterial small subunit ribosomal RNA", at positions 9 to 333 of the family's 1533-position model. The record is from RNAcentral.